AGUAGCAAACAAUUUAUUUGGAUUCACACAGGGAAGGAGAGGUAGGGGUGUCAGGCAAGGAAAGUGGGGAGUAGGAAACCCUAAUACUUGUGUCCUCUGGAAGACUGCCUCCCCCAAGUUCUUGGGGUUCAAGACUAUUCCUCAGGCUUUUAAUUCAGGAGUCCAGGAACAGGUCAGGGAGAGAGAAAAUUUCAGGGAAAGAUCUGGAUGGCUCUGGCCAGAGUGAGUCCAAAUACAAAACCCCCUUGAGAAUUCAGGUAGCUAUUCUUUAAGAGUCUUAGUGGAGGCAUUUUUGAGUCCCAGAAGGAAUAACAGGUCCCAAAUGGAUAGGCUCUUUCUCAGCUUCCAGGAAAAACACCUUCCUACUUCCCUCCUAGGCUGAAAGACCAUUGACAGUUGGAGCUUCAGAGUUCUAAUUCCUUUAGAACUCCCCGGCUUCUCUCUCUGCCCUCCUCUGCUGCUCCUCAGCUGAUCUAUCUUUCAGCCUGGCUUGUCAUUGGAACCCCUUGGAUCUCUCUUUCUUACAUUUCAAUGGAAAUCACCAUCUGCUUCAGGAAGUGGAAUCGAAGGUUGAAGAGCUGACAAUAUCAUAUGUUUGGAGAUCCUUUAUUUGCAGCAGUACACAUAAAUGAGUUUACUCCCCAUGCCUUUCUAUCAAGCUUCAACAUUGGAGAGAAGGGGACUAGAACACUCACUUGUCCGUAUGCUGACUUGUCCAUUUCCGUCCUUUCAAUACUAAUUUCCAGAAACUGAUAAGUUCCCAGCUGCUGCCUCAACAAUAUGGCCUGAUAAGUGACUGCCAUAUGCUUCCUCAAAGCUGUUCAUGUUCAGCCUGGCUUGCCAGCCUCCUUGGAGACUACACCAGAAAAGAGAGUCAACCACAUUGAUCUACUUACUACUCCCCAGACACAUUUGGAGUUUUCCUGCCUCAGUGCAUUUGAUCAUGCUAUUCUUCUCACCUGGAACACCCUCUCUGUUAUCUGUACUUGCAAAAUUCUAGUCAUCCUUCAAAGUUUCAAGGACUUCUUUCAAAGUCAAUUCUUCCAUAAAACCUGCCUUUAUUUUUCCAGUAGGAAAUGAACCCUCGCCUUCGUACCUCAAUAAAACAUUAUAUCACUUUUGUGGCA
This 1127-nucleotide long non-coding RNA is filed under the name Monodelphis domestica (gray short-tailed opossum). RNAcentral describes it as "lncRNA (ENSMODG00000042062.1)". The record is from RNAcentral. Lineage: Eukaryota; Metazoa; Chordata; Mammalia; Didelphimorphia; Didelphidae.